Molecule: ribosomal RNA, 301 nt
Filed under: uncultured bacterium
Lineage: Bacteria
Description: partial 16S ribosomal RNA
Rfam family: Bacterial small subunit ribosomal RNA
Source: RNAcentral
CAGUCGCCGCGGGAAUACGUAGGGUGCAAGCGUUAAUCGGAAUUACUGGGCGUAAAGCGUGCGCAGGCGGUUAUAUAAGUCAGAUGUGAAAUCCCCGGGCUCAACCUGGGAACUGCAUUUGAGACUGUAUGGCUAGAGUGUGUCAGAAGGGGGUAGAAUUCCACGUGUAGCAGUGAAAUGCGUAGAUAUGUGGAGGAAUACCGAUGGCGAAGGCAGCCCCCUGGGAUAACACUGACGCUCAUGCACGAAAGCGUGGGGAGCAAACAGGAUUAGAUACCCCUGUAGUCCCUGUCUCUUAUAA